GCACUAUAUAUUUUUAUUUGUGAUAAAUAAUAGCAUAUAAAUUCUAUGCUUUAUAAAUUCAACAUCUUAGAAACAUACUUAACAUGAAAUAACAAAAAUACAAGCAUUUAAAUUGGCGUGCUUCACAAAAUUUUUAUGGAAAAUUAUGAAAUAGAUGAGCAACUUAAAACAUUAAGAUAUGUAAUUUUUUUUAUCUAUAAUGAACAAUAUAUAUAUGUGAAAAUAAUGCUGUAGCUAGACUUUUGAAUCGCUCCAUAAGUGGAUUUAGAAAAGUUUUAUAGUCAAAACAUAAAAUAUUUAUUUCUGAAAUAAUGAAAUAAAUAAAUUUCCAUCAGCUUGCAAUCUUGAGAAGAGCAGACAUUUUUAUAGACAAAAAAAAUAUAAACAUCAAAUUCACAAGUUACAAAAUGUAUAUAAAUAUGUAUACUAUACAUAGCUUUAUAUUUUAUAAUAAUUACACUGAAUAAAAAAUUUGAAUCCUUCAAAGGGAAACAUAUUGAUAGCAAAAUAAAAUAAAACCAAAUUACUAACAUUUGAAAAUUCAUCCCCCAUCUUUCAAAAUCCAAAAAUGUGAUUUUCAUUUGUUUAAAUUUGAAUUUAAGAUACUGUGGAUUCCAAUUUUCGUGGGUUUCUUGAGUUUAGGUGAACCACAAAAUCAAAUUUACAAUGAAAUACAUAUUUUUAAUAGGUUUUGUACACAGAGAUUGUCAAAACCAUGAAAUCAAAUAUCCACGAAUAUGCAAGUUUUCAGCAAUCCACGAAAAUUGAUACCAACAACAAUAAACGAAUCUACAGUAUAACAAAGUAGAUUCAGAGUGAGUGUAAUUUCCCCAUUAAUAAUAGAUAGAUAUAGUUAGUUCAAGACAGUAAUAAAUAAUUUAAGACAACUUUUCAUUUUAUUUCAAGUGUACCCCUUUGUAUGUGAUUAUACUGCCUGUAUCUGUAGUAGAUGCUAUACUAUAAGCAUAGAUGCUUAAACCCCUAUGCUAUUAUGGAAUGAUAAAUAAAAGAAGGAAAAAAUAUCAAAUUAAAUGCAUUCAAGAAAAAAAAACUAUGAAUGUAACAAGAAUUAUGUGACAAAAAACAUUUUCUUCACAAUACCAAAUCCUUAGCAAAUCUUUCUAACUUGUUGAAAUACCUUAAACUCUUUAAUGAGUAAUGAAUGAAUGCAGAUUGUGACCAGUUAUAUAAAAAAAAGUUAUUAGUGAAAUGAAAGAACCUUUGUUUGUUUGACUGGUUUUCUAUUUUUCCAUCUUCUGUUUUAAAUACCUUUCAGCACUUUUUGGUAUUGUCAUUAAGAUACAACCACACCUUAAAUAAGUUUGAAAGGUAAAUUUUCAUUGGCUCAUGUAAUAAUUACCAGAACAGAAAGUAGAAUUGACAUGUUCAGAUCCCAUCGACCCAGGAUCUGUAUUUCAAAUCAGAUAGUCUUUUUAAGUAUAUUGACCAUAGGUCUGGACAAACAAAAGGUCAAGGGAACCUUUGAAACUGUUACUUAUCAACCAUUAAUUACAUUUGGAGGAACAACUUCCAUUCCAAGUAUAAAUGAAUAAUAGAAUAGGCUCUCAUGUUUGUAUGUCAAAUACGGACAAUGUUUAAUUGGCAAAAAAACAACAACAAAAAAACCCAAAAAGUUUAAAAAAAAAAGACCUGCCCUCCUUUCCCCCCUUAUUAUGUAAGUUAAAGACAGUAACCCUAAAACAUGAUCUGAUAUCAUCAUAUCCAUGUGCCAAUGGUGAGCUAACUUAAAUAAGCAUUAGGCUAUAAUUAGCCAUAUGAUUAAUUGAAGAUCAAAACAGGAAAGUUCAAUGCAAAUCAAAAUGUCAUGACUUCUUUAAACACUGGGGAAUUUUUGAAACAAUAUUAUUAAUCUAGGAAAUUUCUUUGAAAGAUUUAAAUAAGUUUUUAUGGGUUUUACAACAUUGUUACAUUACAUUAGUCCAAGUGUCAGCAAAACCUAUUUGAAAACAUGUUAUUUAUAUAUUUGAUCACCAGUUUGUUGCUAUAUGUUAAAGAUAUAUCCCUACUUGGAAAUUCAAUUUCUCAAAAGUUAUUAACUUGCAAUUCUGAAUACUUGUGAUAUUCUUUACAUAGAAAGAUAAAACUGGCCUUUGUAUAUCCCAAUUUGAUUUAAUUUAUAAUCUUGGGAGUUUGAAUGUUUAUUUGAUGGUUUAGCAGAUCUACAAACGAUUACUGGUACAUGUAUCAUGAUGUUAUGGCUGUGACAACCUUGGUUUUGAGCUUCAUCAUACAAAAAGGUGUAUAAAUGAUAAUUUUGAUGAGUACCAUUUCACUUAAAAUGUUGAUAAUAGAUGUUGAUUAAAAACAAAUAAAGUGUCAUCAUGACAAUGUAAUUUGUGUCUAUGAUGGCUGCAUAGGUCUGAUUUUAAAUGUGAAUAUUGUAAUGAUUACUGGUCUUCUUGUUAUCCUAAUUAUUUCUUCAUCAUUUUAUUUAACUGUUGUCAUUUCACCUAAAAGUAGGAAGCCAAGUUAAUUGUAUAAACAUUAUUAUACAAUGACAUAAAUUAAACUUUUUAUCCUUCAACUAACUGCAAUAUUUUGGUUUUAUUGAACAUAAAUAUUGUUGUUUUUAAAAAAAAAACCAUAUUUAUCUUAAUCUGUUCAAUCAUGUAAUAAUAUAAACAGAAACUAGUGAAAAUAAAAUAGUUAACCUAUCCAUCUACCAAGCUUAGUGACAAAAGGCAAGCAGAUCUAAACUUCUUGCCACAAAUAAGUAAAAUAACAAACUUAUCACUCACUAUGGUUGAUUUUUACACUUGAAAGGGUUCAUUAUUACAUUAAGGGCAUACGAUACAGUUACAGUGAAGGUAAUGACGUUGCUAACGUAAAAUGUUAUUUUCGCACGUCAAACUCUGACAUAUCGGGAAAAGAUGCAUUUUUCGACUGAUUUUUAUCAUUCAACCUGAUUUAAUUUGAAAACGAGUGCAUGGACCCCUAUUAUUUAAAACAGC
RNAcentral lists this long non-coding RNA (2972 nucleotides) under Mytilus galloprovincialis (Mediterranean mussel). The record is from RNAcentral. Lineage: Eukaryota; Metazoa; Mollusca; Bivalvia; Mytilida; Mytilidae.